RNAcentral lists this transfer RNA (75 nucleotides) under Microcaldota archaeon. Its description in RNAcentral is "tRNA-Met". It matches the Rfam family "tRNA". Rfam says of the family: Transfer RNA (tRNA) molecules are approximately 80 nucleotides in length. Their secondary structure includes four short double-helical elements and three loops (D, anti-codon, and T loops). Further hydrogen bonds mediate the characteristic L-shaped molecular structure. tRNAs have two regions of fundamental functional importance: the anti-codon, which is responsible for specific mRNA codon recognition, and the 3' end, to which the tRNAs corresponding amino acid is attached (by aminoacyl-tRNA synthetases). tRNAs cope with the degeneracy of the genetic code in two manners: having more than one tRNA (with a specific anti-codon) for a particular amino acid; and 'wobble' base-pairing, i.e. permitting non-standard base-pairing at the 3rd anti-codon position. Lineage: Archaea; Nanobdellati; Microcaldota. The record is from RNAcentral.
GGCGGGGUAGCUCAGCCUGGUUAGAGCGUCAGACUCAUAAUCUGAAGGUCGAGGGUUCGAAUCACUCCCCCGCCA